AUUUUAUUCAGACAACAGUAAAGUUAAAGAGAAACCAGACUUUCCGUAAUUAAUAUUUCAACAAUUUAAAAAACAAUCAGGAUUUUAAAAAACACGUCAAGGUCUGAUUAGUUUGGACUCCUUCCCCAUGAACUCAAACUCGCUCACACCAGAUGAUCAGUGCGGUCAGCAGCCUUAGCAGGUCUGGAUCUUAAUUUCUUAUCCUCCUCCGGACAGAAAUCCCAGAGAGUCUCCAAGAGGUCCAGGUCAGGACCACAGACUGUAUAUACUAUGGACAACUUGGUUCCUCCUCCCGCCUGUAUACGGAUUUGAAGCCAAAAAUGUCUCGGUAAUUCCAGGAUUUUUCUUCAUUUCAUGAAACCAGCGCUGUGCAGUAGCGUUGUGGGCAUUCGGCGGGAGAGUCACUGUGAUGAUGCUCGGCUCAAACAGCGUAUCCCCCAGGUGAGCUACGCAAUCCCUGAAUGCCAAUAGGCUGUAUCAAGUGUCAAUCAAUAGAAAACAUGAACCCACUAAUAACUUUUAAAAAUGGAGCUGUACAGAAAAAAGAGGACUUGAGCACAAACCAGUCUGACAGUAACUACAUGUCAACAUCACAACCAGGGGGGAGAAACAUUUAUAUUAUGUGUCAUUAAUUUAUAAAGGAGGCGGGAUUUAUGACCUAUACUGCAGACCGUUACCAGAGGGCACUGUUCUGAGAGUGGCUUCACCUAGAGAGGAGGCAGACAGCGUCCAUUUCUAGAUACAGUAUAUGGUCAGGACAGUCAGACACAAGAGGG
Molecule: non-coding RNA, 776 nt
Organism: Xyrichtys novacula (pearly razorfish)
Lineage: Eukaryota; Metazoa; Chordata; Actinopteri; Labriformes; Labridae
Source: the annotation of a GenBank genome assembly